Long non-coding RNA from Melanotaenia boesemani (Boeseman's rainbowfish), 138 nucleotides. RefSeq lists it as uncharacterized. The transcript has 3 exons. Lineage: Eukaryota; Metazoa; Chordata; Actinopteri; Atheriniformes; Melanotaeniidae. The record is from RefSeq and is a predicted model, not a curated record.
AUUCUGAACAGCAGUGGCACAAACCUCGUACUCAGGGCUUCAAACCUGGUCCGACCAAUCAGAUGGUGAUAGUAUCAGCAAGACCCAAAGAAAGAAGACUGGCUGAAGGAAUCCGGAGUAAUUUAUACAAAGCAGCCU